RNAcentral lists this ribosomal RNA (254 nucleotides) under uncultured bacterium. RNAcentral's name for it is "partial 16S ribosomal RNA". It matches the Rfam family "Bacterial small subunit ribosomal RNA", at positions 524 to 776 of the family's 1533-position model. The record is from RNAcentral.
CACGUAGGGUGCGAGCGUUGUCCGGAAUUAUUGGGCGUAAAGAGCUCGUAGGCGGUGUGUCGCGUCGGCCGUGAAAACCUGCAGCUUAACUGUGGGCGUGCGGUCGAUACGGGCAUCACUGGAGUUCGGCAGGGGAGACUGGAAUUCCUGGUGUAGCGGUGAAAUGCGCAGAUAUCAGGAGGAACAUCGGUGGCGAAGGCGGGUCUCUGGGCCGAUACUGACGCUGAGGCGCGACAGCGUGGGGAGCAAACAGG